Molecule: transfer RNA, 71 nt
Filed under: Candidatus Magasanikiibacteriota bacterium
Lineage: Bacteria; Candidatus Magasanikiibacteriota
Description: tRNA-Gln
Rfam family: tRNA
About the family: Transfer RNA (tRNA) molecules are approximately 80 nucleotides in length. Their secondary structure includes four short double-helical elements and three loops (D, anti-codon, and T loops). Further hydrogen bonds mediate the characteristic L-shaped molecular structure. tRNAs have two regions of fundamental functional importance: the anti-codon, which is responsible for specific mRNA codon recognition, and the 3' end, to which the tRNAs corresponding amino acid is attached (by aminoacyl-tRNA synthetases). tRNAs cope with the degeneracy of the genetic code in two manners: having more than one tRNA (with a specific anti-codon) for a particular amino acid; and 'wobble' base-pairing, i.e. permitting non-standard base-pairing at the 3rd anti-codon position.
Source: RNAcentral
UCGGGGAUCGUCUAAUGGUAGGACAGAGGCCUUUGAAGCCUUUUAUCGGGGUUCGAAUCCCUGUCCCCGAG